RNAcentral lists this ribosomal RNA (492 nucleotides) under uncultured bacterium. Its description in RNAcentral is "partial 16S ribosomal RNA". It matches the Rfam family "Bacterial small subunit ribosomal RNA", at positions 29 to 507 of the family's 1533-position model. The record is from RNAcentral.
AGUGAACGCUGGCGGCAGGCCUAACACAUGCAAGUCGAACGGGAGCACAGUAAGAGCUUGCUCUUACGGGAGGCGAGUGGCGGACGGUUGACGUAUAUUUGGAAAUCCCCUUUGUCGGGGGGGAAAACGUAGGGAAACUUACUCAAAUACCACAUACGACCUACGCGUGAAAGCAGGGGCUUUUCGGACCUUGCGCGAGGGAAUGAGCCGAUGUCGGAUUAGCUAGUUGGCGGGGUAAAGGCCCACCAAGGCGACGAUCCGUAGCUGGUAUGAGAGGAUGAUCUGCCACACUGGAACUGAGACACGGUCCAGACUCCUACGGGAGGCAGCAGUGGGGAAUAUUGGACAAUGGGCGCAAGCCUGAUCCAGCCAUACCGCGUGGAUGAAGAAGGCCUUCUGGUUGUAAAGCCCUUUUGUUGGGAAAGAAGAGCAGCAGGUUAAUACCCCGCUGUUCUGACGGUACCCGAAGAAUAAGCACCGGCUAACUCCGUG